AUUGAACGCUGGCGGCUUGCCUUACACAUGCAAGUCGAACGGCAGCACGGACUUCGGUCUGGUGGCGAGUGGCGAACGGGUGAGUAAUAUAUCGGAACGUGCCCUGGAGUGGGGGAUAACUAGUCGAAAGACUAGCUAAUACCGCAUACGAUCUACGGAUGAAAGUGGGGGAUCGCAAGACCUCAUGCUCGUGGAGCGGC
Molecule: ribosomal RNA, 200 nt
Filed under: uncultured bacterium
Lineage: Bacteria
Description: partial 16S ribosomal RNA
Rfam family: Bacterial small subunit ribosomal RNA
Source: RNAcentral